UCUAACACUGUGACCCACCGCAGUUCCCCACAGGCUUCUCUAGCUAAUACUAAAAUGCUGAGAUUCAUAUUUGUGUAUCUAUGAGAUGUUUUCAGUCCUGGUAUGAAGCUCUAUUUAACACCACCUUAAGUGGAGAAGGAAGAAAGCUAUCCUGUAAUAUAAACAUUCUGGCAUACUUCAAGGUCUUGUCCCCAGGUUCCAAGUCAUCUGGAACAAUGGCCUUUGAUGUAGCACAGACUGCAAGAAAGAGACCUGAAGAAUCUUUAUCUGAUCUGUAAAGAUCAGCUCCCUAGAAGGCCUAUUCAUCUUCCAGCCUUCAUUUUUGUGCACAUGUCAUAUCUUUAUCUCCUCCUAACCAGCACAGAAUUCUGUCAGCUGAUGGCACAAUUACAAUUAUAUUCGGUACAAUGAAAUAAAUCUUCUUUUUGUGCUUUUCACUCUAA
Molecule: long non-coding RNA, 443 nt
Organism: Pezoporus flaviventris
Lineage: Eukaryota; Metazoa; Chordata; Aves; Psittaciformes; Psittacidae
Exons: 3
Source: RefSeq, a predicted model, not a curated record